CAGGGAGACAACAAAAUGUUAAAUAUUAAUUUUGUCACCUUAGGUCGAUCGGUAUCUCACAUUCUUAAUUUAUUUAAGGAUUUUAUUUCCUAAGUUUUUUCUAGGUCACACCCAUAAUUUUUCCUGGGCCAUUAGCUCAGGUGGUUAGAGCGCACCCCUGAUAAGGGUGAGGUCCCUGGUUCAAGUCCAGGAUGGCCCAUAUCUCUAUGUUGGGGGUAUAGCUCAGUUGGUAGAGCGCCUGCUUUGCAAGCAGGAUGUCAGCGGUUCGAGUCCGCUUACCUCCACUGAUUACCACCUCUUCCAUAACCGGUAGAAAGGAAAUGUUUUGAGUUGUGAUCAAAUUCUGAAAGAAUCUAGCUUCCUAAUGAAAUCAUUAAGAUGCUGGACUCAUUGAAUUAAUUUUCAUUGUUUUCAGAGAACCUUGACAACUGCAUAGAUUAUUUUUAAAGACAAUAAGCAUCUUUAAUGAUGCAGAUUUAUUAUUUGUGCGAAUGCAUUAAUAACAAUUCUAUUAAGCUGAUGCUUCAAUUUUUGAAGUUAUU
Molecule: transfer RNA, 542 nt
Filed under: uncultured cyanobacterium
Lineage: Bacteria; Bacillati; Cyanobacteriota
Description: partial 16S-23S ribosomal RNA intergenic spacer
Rfam family: tRNA (bases 212-284)
Source: RNAcentral